Molecule: ribosomal RNA, 449 nt
Filed under: uncultured bacterium
Lineage: Bacteria
Description: partial 16S ribosomal RNA
Rfam family: Bacterial small subunit ribosomal RNA
Source: RNAcentral
AACGAACGCUGGCGGCAUGCCUAACACAUGCAAGUCGAACGAGACCUUCGGGUCUAGUGGCGCACGGGUGCGUAACGCGUGGGAAUCUGCCCUAGGGUGCGGAAUAACUCGGAGAAAUCCGUGCUAAUACCGCAUAAUGUCUUCGGACCAAAGAUUUAUCGCCCUGGGAUGAGCCCGCGUAGGAUUAGCUAGUUGGUGGGGUAAAGGCCUACCAAGGCGACGAUCCUUAGCUGGUCUGAGAGGAUGAUCAGCCACACUGGGACUGAGACACGGCCCAGACUCCUACGGGAGGCAGCAGUGGGGAAUAUUGGACAAUGGGCGAAAGCCUGAUCCAGCAAUGCCGCGUGAGUGAUGAAGGCCCUAGGGUUGUAAAGCUCUUUUACCCGGGAUGAUAAUGACAGUACCGGGAGAAUAAGCUCCGGCUAACUCCGUGCCAGCCGCCGCGGUAA